CCUACGGGAGGCAGCAGUGAGGAAUAUUGGUCAAUGGGAGAGAUCCUGAACCAGCCAAGCCGCGUGAGGGAAGACGGCCCUAUGGGUUGUAAACCUCUUUUGUCGGAGAACAAAACCCGGGACGUGUCCCGGACUGCGUGUAUCCGAAGAAAAAGCAUCGGCUAACUCCGUGCCAGCAGCCGCGGUAAUACGGAGGAUGCGAGCGUUAUCCGGAUUUAUUGGGUUUAAAGGGUGCGUAGGCGGUCCGUUAAGUCAGCGGGAAAAUUGCGGGGCUCAACCCUGGCGAGCCGUUGAAACUGGCAGACUUGAGUUGGCGAGAAGUACGCGGAAUGCGCGGUGUAGCGGUGAAAUGCAUAGAUAUCGCGCAGAACUCCGAUUGCGAAGGCAGCGUACCGGCGCCAGACUGACGCUGAGGCACGAAAGCGUGGGGAUCGAACAGGAUUAGAUACCCCGGUAGUC
This 459-nucleotide ribosomal RNA is filed under the name uncultured bacterium. Its description in RNAcentral is "partial 16S ribosomal RNA". It matches the Rfam family "Bacterial small subunit ribosomal RNA", at positions 338 to 795 of the family's 1533-position model. The record is from RNAcentral.